UACGUAGGGGGCUAGCGUUAUCCGGAAUUACUGGGCGUAAAGGGUGCGUAGGUGGUUUCUUAAGUCAGAGGUGAAAGGCUACGGCUCAACCGUAGUAAGCCUUUGAAACUGGGGAACUUGAGUGCAGGAGAGGAGAGUGGAAUUCCUAGUGUAGCGGUGAAAUGCGUAGAUAUUAGGAGGAACACCAGUUGCGAAGGCGGCUCUCUGGACUGUAACUGACACUGAGGCACGAAAGCGUGG
RNAcentral lists this ribosomal RNA (240 nucleotides) under uncultured bacterium. RNAcentral's name for it is "partial 16S ribosomal RNA". It matches the Rfam family "Bacterial small subunit ribosomal RNA", at positions 524 to 764 of the family's 1533-position model. The record is from RNAcentral.